Oncorhynchus keta (chum salmon) is the source of this 1121-nucleotide long non-coding RNA. RefSeq lists it as uncharacterized. NCBI's taxonomy places the organism in Eukaryota, Metazoa, Chordata, Actinopteri, Salmoniformes, Salmonidae. The transcript has 3 exons. The record is from RefSeq and is a predicted model, not a curated record.
GCAGAGCACUGUGGAAGGACACCAGAUUACCUGAGUUUUACAAAGAGAAAAGGUAAAAAGAGAAAGGGGUGAGACUUGUUUGAUGACAUGGUCUGAAAUAAACUCUGUGGUCCUCAGGCUACAUCCAACCACCUGGAACCCCAAGCUCAUUCCAGCCUGUUGUUUGGAUAAUUUUUAUGUUUGUUAUAUAUCGAACGAGCUUGGGGUUACAGGUGGUCAUAUAGAACGAGCUUGGGGUUACAGGUGGUCAUAUAGAACGAGCUUGGGGUUACAGGUGGUCAUAUAGAACGAGCUUGGGGUUACAGGUGGUCAUAUCGAACGAGCUUGGGGUUACAGGUGGUCAUAUAGAACGAGCUUGGGGUUACAGGUGGUCAUAUCGAACGAGCUUGGGGUUACAGGUGGUCAUAUAGAACGAGCUUGGGGUUACAGGUGGUCAUAUAGAACGAGCUUGGGGUUACAGGUGGUCAUAUCGAACGAGCUUGGGGUUACAGGUGGUCAUAUAGAACGAGCUUGGGGUUACAGGUGGUCAUAUCGAACGAGCUUGGGGUUACAGGUGGUCAUAUAGAACGAGCUUGGGGUUACAGGUGGUCAUAUAGAACGAGCUUGGGGUUACAGGUGGUCAUAUCGAACGAGCUUGGGGUUACAGGUGGUCAUAUAGAACGAGCUUGGGGUUACAGGUGGUCAUAUCGAACGAGCUUGGGGUUACAGGUGGUCAUAUAGAACGAGCUUGGGGUUACAGGUGGUCAUAUCGAACGAGCUUGGGGUUACAGGUGGUCAUAUAGAACGAGCUUGGGGUUACAGGUGGUCAUAUAGAACGAGCUUGGGGUUACAGGUGGUCAUAUCGAACGAGCUUGGGGUUACAGGUGGUCAUAUAGAACGAGCUUGGGGUUACAGGUGGUCAUAUAGAACAAGCUUGGGGUUACAGGUGGUUGGAUGUUGCCUGAAGACCAAAGAGUAUCUUUCAGACCAUAUAGUUCUGACAAUAUGCUGUAGCAGAACCAGGGUGACAUUUCCCUUUAAGGUGUGACCAGGCCCUCUAGUGGCCUGGGCCUGUAAUAGUAGGUUGUUUUCUCUUCAGCUGUGCUGAAAUACUGUAGUAGUUAGCUAUCCUGGCAGACACU